GUGAACGCUGGCGGUAGGCCUAACACAUGCAAGUCGAACGGCAGCACCGUAAGAGCUUGCUCUUACGGGUGGCGAGUGGCGGACGGGUGAGGAAUACAUCGGCAUCUACUUUUUCGUGGGGGAUCACGUAGGGAAACUUACUCUAAUACCGCAUACGACCUACGGGUGAAAGCAGGGGAUCUUCGGACCUUGCGCGAUUGAAUGAGCCGAUGUCGGAUUAGCUAGUUGGCGGGGUAAAGGCCCACCAAGGCGACGAUCCGUAGCUGGUCUGAGAGGAUGAUCAGCCACACUGGAACUGAGACACGGUCCAGACUCCUACGGGAGGCAGCAGUGGGGAAUAUUGGACAAUGGGCGAAAGCCUGAUCCAGCCAUACCGCGUGGGUGAAGAAGGCCUUCGGGUUGUAAAGCCCUUUUGUUGGGAAAGAAAAGCAGCAGGUUAAUACCCCGCUGUUCUGACGGUACCCAAAGAAUAAGCACCGGCUAACUUCGUG
This 491-nucleotide ribosomal RNA is filed under the name uncultured bacterium. RNAcentral describes it as "partial 16S ribosomal RNA". It matches the Rfam family "Bacterial small subunit ribosomal RNA", at positions 29 to 507 of the family's 1533-position model. The record is from RNAcentral.